This 546-nucleotide ribosomal RNA is filed under the name uncultured marine eukaryote. Its description in RNAcentral is "SSU rRNA". It matches the Rfam family "Eukaryotic small subunit ribosomal RNA", at positions 613 to 1166 of the family's 1831-position model. The record is from RNAcentral.
UUGCGGUUAAAAAGCUCGUAGUUGGAUUUCUGUCUGGGGUGGUCGGUCCGCACUUUGUGCGUGCAUCUGAUGCGUCCUCGGCAUCCUUCUGAAGGACAUUGUACUUUAUUGUAUGAUGGAUUUCAGAACUUUUACUUUGAGGAAAUUAGAGUGUUCACAGCAAGCAAGCGCUUUGAAUACAUUAGCAUGGAAUAAUAAUAUAGGACCUUCAGUACUAUUUUGUUGGUUUCUAGAGCUGAGGUAAUGAUUAAUAGGGACAGUUGGGGGCAUUCGUAUUAACGCGUCAGAGGUGGAAUUCUUGGAUUGCGUUACGACGAACUACUGCGAAAGCAUUUGCCAAGGAUGUUUUCAUUGAUCAAGAACGAAAGUAUGGGGAUCGAAGACGAUUAGAUACCGUCGUAGUCUAUACCAUAAACUAUGCCGACUAGAGAUUGGAGGUCGUUUUUUUAUGACUCCUUCAGCACCUUAUGAGAAAUCAAAGUCUUUGGGUUCCCGGGGGGAGUAUGGUCGCAAGGCUGAAACUUAAAGGAAUUGACCGGAAGGGCA